Molecule: long non-coding RNA, 1035 nt
Organism: Bactrocera neohumeralis
Lineage: Eukaryota; Metazoa; Arthropoda; Insecta; Diptera; Tephritidae
Exons: 2
Source: RefSeq, a predicted model, not a curated record
UGUGUUUCCAGCUUCAGAGGUAAACAGUUUUUAUAUUGCUAAUUAAAUUAUGUGCAAGUAUAUUAACAAAAAACAAAUUUUAAUAUUUUUAGAUGGCAGAAAAUAAACAACGCACAGUUUGCUAUCCAUUUUUCCAAUAUUCUUUACUUUUUCACACACUUUUAUUUCACUUUUUUUUUAAAUAAAUAAACAAAUUUCACUAUCAGCUGUCUAAAUGUACAAGUCUGCCGUCUGUCACCAUAAAAUUUCAAUGCUCAUUAGCGUUGCUAAAGGCGCAUUAAUUUUGCUCGUCAUGCAUGCUCAUGCAGUUAUCGCUGUCGCUUUUAGACAACAAUGAACAGUUGUAGUGCUGUGGCUAAUAUGUGAAAUGUAAAAUUAUUCUAAGCUCUAACAAAUCUAACAGAAAAGUUUCAGUACGGCGGCAACGAAGUUGUAUACAUUAGUUGUUUGAUGUCACUGCUGGGUAAAAAAGUGUUCAAGAAGCUGGCUUCAAGAUGACAUUUGCAGGCAGGACAAUUUCGCUGUCGUGCACUCAUGUCGGGCAGUCUUUGUGUUCAAAGCAUUAUUUAUAACUCUUGUGACUCGAAGUAAAGCAAAUAAAAACAUCUUUAGAUACGAUGUAUUAAAAUUUGGUAUAUUAUGAGUACUUUAUUUUUAUUCAGUGCUGAUCUGUUAUACACACUUAACAUAAUUUCAAACAAAUACAAUUAUAUAACAAAUACAUACUUAAUUAUAAAGGCAAUAAAAUACACAAAACUACUGUUCAGUAAUACAAAAAAUCUAUGUAACGUACUAGUAGGUACAUGUAAUACUAAAUUAUGAAGCUAUUGGACUACCAAGUAUCUAUUUCAGCAAUUUAUGUUACAAAUUUGUAAAUCAAAUUAGGGUUUGUAUAAUAUACACCUACCGAAAUAUAUUUUUACACGUUUUGGAUUAGGUUAUGCCAAUUUAUUUUCUAGUAAAUUUUUUAAACAUAAAUAUAAAAAUAUGAAUUUUUGAAGAACUUCAUAAGUCAUGUACAUAUGUAUGUAUAUA